This 375-nucleotide ribosomal RNA is filed under the name uncultured Thermomicrobia bacterium. RNAcentral describes it as "bacterial SSU rRNA". It matches the Rfam family "Bacterial small subunit ribosomal RNA", at positions 522 to 895 of the family's 1533-position model. Lineage: Bacteria; Pseudomonadati; Thermomicrobiota; Thermomicrobia. The record is from RNAcentral.
AAGACGUAGGGGGCGAGCGUUACCCGGAGUCACUGGGCGUAAAGGGCGUGUAGGCGGCUGGGCGCGCCGCGUGUGAAAGCCCGCGGCUCAACCGCGGGGGGUCGCGCGGGACGGCCUGGCUUGAGGGCGGGAGAGGCGGGUGGAAUUCCCGGUGUAGCGGUGAAAUGCGUAGAGAUCGGGAGGAACACCGGUGGCGAAGGCGGCCCGCUGGCCCGUACCUGACGCUGAGGCGCGAAGGCGUGGGGAGCGAACCGGAUUAGAUACCCGGGUAGUCCACGCAGUAAACGAUGCGGGCGAGGUGUGGGUGGUGUUGACCCCAUCCGUGCCGGCGCCAACGCAGUAAGCCCGCCGCCUGGGGAGUACGGCCGCAAGGCU